GACGAACGCUGGCGGCGUGCCUAAUACAUGCAAGUAGAACGCUGAAGAGAGGAGCUUGCUCUUCUUGGAUGAGUUGCGAACGGGUGAGUAACGCGUAGGUAACCUGCCUGGUAGCGGGGGAUAACUAUUGGAAACGAUAGCUAAUACCGCAUAAAAUUGAUUAUUGCAUGAUAAUUAAUUGAAAGAUGCAAUUGCAUCACUACCAGAUGGACCUGCGUUGUAUUAGCUAGUUGGUGAGGUAACGGCUCACCAAGGCGACGAUACAUAGCCGACCUGAGAGGGUGAUCGGCCACACUGGGACUGAGACACGGCCCAGACUCCUACGGGAGGUAGCAGUAGGGAAUCUUCGGCAAUGGGGGGAACCCUGACCGAGCAACGCCGCGUGAGUGAAGAAGGUUUUCGGAUCGUAAAGCUCUGUUGUAAGAGAAGAACGGGUGUGAGAGUGGAAAGCUCACACUGUGACGGUAUCUACCCAGAAAGGACG
Molecule: ribosomal RNA, 484 nt
Filed under: Streptococcus sanguinis
Lineage: Bacteria; Bacillati; Bacillota; Bacilli; Lactobacillales; Streptococcaceae
Description: bacterial SSU rRNA
Rfam family: Bacterial small subunit ribosomal RNA
Source: RNAcentral